Long non-coding RNA from Hippocampus zosterae (dwarf seahorse), 1136 nucleotides. RefSeq lists it as uncharacterized. Lineage: Eukaryota; Metazoa; Chordata; Actinopteri; Syngnathiformes; Syngnathidae. The transcript is spliced from 6 exons. The record is from RefSeq and is a predicted model, not a curated record.
UGCGCUGCUGAGGAGGGGGCGGAGUCAAUGGGCAGAGUCAGGUGGAACCCGGAACUAGUUGACGGCUCGUUUCCCUGUUUACAUGUCCACCUGUGGGCUGUUACAUAGGCGCGGCCACUAGGAGGAGGUCACUCAGCCCGUCGCCGUCCACAUCCAUCGACAACAACACGCUGCCAAACGCCUGCAGGACCUCGACGUUUCCACGGCGAUCCAAGGUGAAGCUGACGACCUUGCCGCUAUGGUUGAAGCGGGGCGCUCCCGCCAGCACCACCUCCGACCCGCCCGAGCCCAGCAGCGACCCCAGAUGUGAGUGCUCUGCGAUUGGCUGGCAACCGAUUCAGGGUGUCCGAAGACAGCCGGGAUAGGCUCCAGCACCCCCCCCCCCCCCCCGCGACCGGAAAACUGAUGGACGGAUGGAUGUGAGUAUGUGCUAGCACGUAUUAGCACGCGACCAACCACAAAGCUUCCGUCCUUGCGAUCCGUGGUGAGCGUCAUUCCCAGUCUCAUCCCGUCUUUGCGCUGCGCCAUCACGUUGUCCACCGACACGUUUCCUGGUCACGUGACAUCAUCACGUCAAGGUAUCAUGCGAUGCACCCGGAAACCCCCCCCCCCCCCCCCGAGCCGCGUUACUCACCCAGGUGCAGGCGGCUGCAGGCGCCGCCGGAAUUCAAAACGGCGUCCACGGGACACCUGAACACGUCGCCCGUCUGCUGGUCGUCCGUCCAGGCCUGGGGGGCACCCACCAGGAGCCUGCACGCAUAACAGCUGCCCUGGAAGGAAUUUUCCUUGGCGGCGCAACAACAUUCCCGGGAUGACAGCAGAAGGAAGAACGCAUUGGAAAGGAAACGAAAAGAAAAAGAGAGGAAGGAGGACGAGAGGGACGCCGCUGCUCCUCACCAUCGUCGUCCUUGCGCCUUGUGUUGUCGUAACGUGUAGCCGAAGUGGCUCUCCUCCCAGCCUCGGAAGAUCUGCGCCCGCUUGGCGUCCAGAAGGCCGCAGAUCAUCGAGCCGAUGAAGAAGCGGCGCCAAGAAUCCAUCACGCCCACCCGAGAGAUUCGAGAGCCCACGUCCAAAUCCAAAGACCGUGAGGGGAAGAUGUUACCCUCCACUCUCGUCCGACAGCCCUUUUAUCCGCA